GUGCUCACUUCAGCAGUACAUAGACAAAAACUGGAACGACACAGAAGAGAUUAAAACGGCACCUGUGGAAGGAUUACACACAAAUACAAGCAUUCCACAUUUUU
Myodes glareolus (Bank vole) is the source of this 104-nucleotide small nuclear RNA. The record is from RefSeq and is a predicted model, not a curated record. Lineage: Eukaryota; Metazoa; Chordata; Mammalia; Rodentia; Cricetidae.